RNAcentral lists this ribosomal RNA (497 nucleotides) under uncultured bacterium. RNAcentral's name for it is "partial 16S ribosomal RNA". It matches the Rfam family "Bacterial small subunit ribosomal RNA", at positions 28 to 507 of the family's 1533-position model. The record is from RNAcentral.
GAUGAACGCUGGCGGCGUGCCUAAUACAUGCAAGUCGAGCGAACGGACGAGAAGCUUGCUUCUCUGAUGUUAGCGGCGGACGGGUGAGUAACACGUGGAUAACCUACCUAUAGGACUGGGAUAACUUCGGGAAACCGUAGCUAAUACCGGAUAAUAUUUUGAACCGCAUGGUUCAAAAGUGAAAGACGGUCUUGCUGUCACUUAUAGAUGGAUCCGCGCUGCAUUAGCUAGUUGGUAAGGUAACGGCUUACCAAGGCAACGAUGCAUAGCCGACCUGAGAGGGUGAUUGGCCACACUGGAACUGAGACACGGUCCAGACUCCUACGGGAGGCAGCAGUAGGGAAUCUUCCGCAAUGGGCGAAAGCCUGACGGAGCAACGCCGCGUGAGUGAUGAAGGUCUUCGGAUCGUAAAACUCUGUUAUUAGGGAAGAACAUAUGUGUAAGUAACUGUGCACAUCUUGACGGUACCUAAUCAGAAAGCCACGGCUAACUACGUG